RNAcentral lists this ribosomal RNA (1061 nucleotides) under uncultured bacterium. RNAcentral's name for it is "bacterial SSU rRNA". It matches the Rfam family "Bacterial small subunit ribosomal RNA", at positions 8 to 1105 of the family's 1533-position model. The record is from RNAcentral.
AGAGUUUGAUUAUGGCUCAGAACGAACGCUGGCGGCAGGCCUAAGACAUGCAAGUCGUACGAGAAAGCCCUUUCGGGGGUGAGUAGAGUGGCGAACGGGUUAGUAACGCGUGGGAACAUACACAGCACAGGGGGAUAACCAUUGGAAACGAUGGCUAAUACCGCAUACGCCCUAUGGGGGAAAGAUUUAUCGGUGUUGGAUUGGCCCGCGUUAGAUUAGCUAGUUGGUGGGGUAAUGGCCUACCAAGGCGACGAUUUAUAGCUGGUUUGAGAGGAUGAUCAGCAACACUGAAACUGAGACACGGUCCAGACUCCUACGGGAGGCAGCAGUCGGGAAUAUUGUGCAAUGGGGGCAACCCUGACACAGCCAUGCCGCGUGAGUGAAGAAGGCCUUAGGGUUGUAAAGCUCUUUCAGAUGUGAGGAUGAUGACGAUAGCAUCACAAGAAGCUCCGGCUAACUUCGUGCCAGCAGCCGCGGUAAUACGAAGGGAGCAAGCGUUGUUCGGAAUUACUGGGCGUAAAGGGCGUGUAGGCGGAUUAUCAAGUUAGGGGUGAAAUCCCGGGGCUCAACCUCGGCACUGCCUUUAAGACUGAUAAUCUAGAGUAUGUGAGGGGAUAAUGGAAUACCUAGUGUAGAGGUGAAAUUCGUAGAUAUUAGGUGGAACACCAGUGGCGAAGGCGAUUAUCUGGCACAUUACUGACGCUGAGGCGCGAAAGCGUGGGGAGCAAACGGGAUUAGAUACCCCGGUAGUCCACGCCGUAAACGAUGUAUACUAGUUGUCGGGCAUUGGUUCGGUGACGCAGCUAACGCAUUAAGUAUACCGCCUGGGGAGUACGGUCGCAAGAUUAAAACUCAAAGAAAUUGACGGGGACCCGCACAAGCGGUGGAGCAUGUGGUUUAAUUCGAAGCAACGCGAAGAACCUUACCCACCUUUGACAUGGUAGUUUGGGGUAUUGGAGACAAUAUCUUUCAGUUCGGCUGGGCUACACACAGGUGCUGCAUGGCUGUCGUCAGCUCGUGUCGUGAGAUGUUGGGUUAAGUCCCGCAACGAGCGCAACCCU